GACGAACGCUGGCGGCGUGCUUAACACAUGCAAGUCGAACGGAAAGGCCCCUUCGGGGGUACUCGAGUGGCGAACGGGUGAGUAACACGUGAGUAACCUGCCCUUGACUUCGGGAUAACUUCCGGAAACUGGGGCUAAUACCGGAUAGGAAUCCUUGCUGCAUGGUGGGGGUUGGAAAGCUUCGGCGGUUUUGGAUGGACUCGCGGCUUAUCAGCUUGUUGGUGGGGUAGUGGCUUACCAAGGCUUUGACGGGUAGCCGGCCUGAGAGGGCGACCGGCCACAGUGGGACUGAGAUACGGCCCAGACUCCUACGGGAGGCAGCAGUGGGGAAUAUUGAACAAUGGGCGGAAGCCUGAUGCAGCACCGCCGCGUGCGGGAUGACGGCCUUCGGGUUGUAAACCGCUUUCAGCAGGGGCGAAGCUUGUGGUGACGGUACCUGCAGAAGAAGCACCGGCUAACUACGUG
RNAcentral lists this ribosomal RNA (465 nucleotides) under uncultured bacterium. RNAcentral describes it as "partial 16S ribosomal RNA". It matches the Rfam family "Bacterial small subunit ribosomal RNA", at positions 28 to 507 of the family's 1533-position model. The record is from RNAcentral.